RNAcentral lists this unclassified non-coding RNA (488 nucleotides) under Hevea brasiliensis (rubber tree). Lineage: Eukaryota; Viridiplantae; Streptophyta; Magnoliopsida; Malpighiales; Euphorbiaceae. The record is from RNAcentral.
AUUACACUUAUUUAUGUUCUCUUGCGGCUUUAUAUCUUCAAACCCCCACCCAAAACCCACCUUCUCACUAGUUUAUUAUUUCAUUACAUAAUGAUUUCAUUCCUACAAUACAAUCACUGAAUGAUUGACAGAUGUAAGCUUGGCACUAUGCUAGUUCCGGACCAUUGUCAUGUCCUCUUUUAAGUUCUAAUCUCAAGGGGAUAAACAAUAUUAUAGCUUGCAGGCGUUGAGGGAUCCAAUGAGCUAUAAAAACAGUGAAUAUAAUUAUUGCAAAUCAAGUCCACAAGGCUAAAGAGGAUGUGAAUCUUGGAAUCCUUUAAGACGAGGGAAAUCGAAUGCUUCUACUCUCAUAUCACCAUUUUAAGACCAAAGUGUAUCAGAGAGGGAAUUCCUUCUGGAGAACAUCAAGAUUACGCGAGUCACAUGCUUCUAACAUAUCAUUUCGAGAUGCACAACUCAGAGAUAUUCUCAAAUAUUGCCAGGCAUUA